Molecule: ribosomal RNA, 455 nt
Filed under: Penaeus duorarum (pink shrimp)
Lineage: Eukaryota; Metazoa; Arthropoda; Malacostraca; Decapoda; Penaeidae
Description: partial 16S ribosomal RNA
Rfam family: Bacterial large subunit ribosomal RNA
Source: RNAcentral
AAAGGGCCGCGGUAUACUGUCCGUGCGAAGGUAGCAUAAUCAUUAGUCUUUUAAUUGAAGGCUUGUAUGAAUGGUUGGACAAAAAGCAAACUGUCUCAGUUGUAAUAAUUGAAUUUAACUUUUGAGUGAAAAGGCUUAAAUAAGUUAGGGGGACGAUAAGACCCUAUAAAGCUUGACAAUAAGCCGAUUAUAUUAUAAAUUGCUAGUAUAACUUGAUUUUAAAUGGUGUUUGUUGCGUUGGGGCGACGAGAAUAUAAAAGAUAACUGUUCUUAUAAUAUUUAAUUACAGAAAUAGCUGGAAAAUUAAAGAUCCUUUCUUUAAGAUCAUAAGAUUAAGUUACUUUAGGGAUAACAGCGUAAUCUUCCUUGAGAGUUCAUAUCGACAGGAAGGGUUGCGACCUCGAUGUUGAAUUAAGGUAUCCUUAUAAUGCAGCAGUUAUAAAGGAAGGUCUGUU